Molecule: non-coding RNA, 73 nt
Organism: Ixodes scapularis (black-legged tick)
Lineage: Eukaryota; Metazoa; Arthropoda; Arachnida; Ixodida; Ixodidae
Source: Rfam
CCCUGGUUAGCACAGAUGGUAGAGCGCUCCACCUGUAAUGGAGAGGUCCCGGGUUCGAUGCCCGGACCAGGUG